GCGGGACUGGUGUAAUUGGUAGCCACAUUUGGUUUAAGCCCAAAUGACCAUCGGUCGUAAGGGUUCGAGUCCCUUGUCCCGUACCA
Molecule: transfer RNA, 86 nt
Filed under: Caudoviricetes sp.
Lineage: Duplodnaviria; Heunggongvirae; Uroviricota; Caudoviricetes
Description: tRNA-Leu
Rfam family: tRNA
About the family: Transfer RNA (tRNA) molecules are approximately 80 nucleotides in length. Their secondary structure includes four short double-helical elements and three loops (D, anti-codon, and T loops). Further hydrogen bonds mediate the characteristic L-shaped molecular structure. tRNAs have two regions of fundamental functional importance: the anti-codon, which is responsible for specific mRNA codon recognition, and the 3' end, to which the tRNAs corresponding amino acid is attached (by aminoacyl-tRNA synthetases). tRNAs cope with the degeneracy of the genetic code in two manners: having more than one tRNA (with a specific anti-codon) for a particular amino acid; and 'wobble' base-pairing, i.e. permitting non-standard base-pairing at the 3rd anti-codon position.
Source: RNAcentral